UGGGGAAUUUUGGACAAUGGGCGAAAGCCUGAUCCAGCAAUGCCGCGUGUGUGAAGAAGGCCUUCGGGUUGUAAAGCACUUUUGUCCGGAAAGAAAUCCUUGGCUCUAAUACAGUCGGGGGAUGACGGUACCGGAAGAAUAAGCACCGGCUAACUACGUGCCAGCAGCCGCGGUAAUACGUAGGGUGCAAGCGUUAAUCGGAAUUACUGGGCGUAAAGCGUGCGCAGGCGGUUUGCUAAGACCGAUGUGAAAUCCCCGGGCUCAACCUGGGAACUGCAUUGGUGACUGGCAGGCUAGAGUAUGGCAGAGGGGGUAGAAUUCCACGUGUAGCAGUGAAAUGCGUAGAGAUGUGGAGGAAUACCGAUGGCGAAGGCAGCCCCUGGGCAAUACUGACGCUCAUGCACGAAAGCGUGGGGAGCAAACAGGAUUAGAUACCCUGGUAGUCCACGCCCUAAACGAUGUCAACUAGUUGUUGGGGAUUCAUUCCUUAGUAACGUAGCUAACGCGUGAAGUUGACCGCCUGGGGAGUACGGUCGCAAGAUUAAAACUUAAAGGAAUUGACGGGGUCAUAGCUGUUUCCU
Molecule: ribosomal RNA, 581 nt
Filed under: uncultured bacterium
Lineage: Bacteria
Description: partial 16S ribosomal RNA
Rfam family: Bacterial small subunit ribosomal RNA
Source: RNAcentral